This 229-nucleotide unclassified non-coding RNA is filed under the name plant metagenome. RNAcentral's name for it is "partial contains small subunit ribosomal RNA, internal transcribed spacer 1, and 5.8S ribosomal RNA". The record is from RNAcentral.
UCUCCGUAGGUGAACCUGCGGAGGGAUCAUUACAGAGUUCAUGCCCUACCGGGUAGAUCUCCCACCCUAUGUUAUUAUUACUUUGUUGCUUUGGCGGGCCGUUAGGCUCCGGCCCGACUACCGGCCCCGGCUGGUAAGCGCCCGCCAGAGACCUAACUAAAACCUGUUUAUGUGUCGUCUGAGUACUAUAUAAUAGUUAAAACUUUCAACAACGGAUCUCUUGGUUCAG